CCUACGGGUGGCAGCAGUGAGGAAUAUUGGUCAAUGGGCGCGAGCCUGAACCAGCCAAGUAGAGUGAAGGAUGAAUGCCCUACGGGUUGUAAACUUCUUGUAUAAAGGAAUAAAGUGAGGCACGUGUGCCUUUUUGUAUGUACUUUAUGAAUAAGGAUCGGCUAACUCCGUGCAAGCAGCCGCGGUAAUACGGAGGAACCGAGCGUGAUCCGGAUUUAUUGGGGUUAAAGGGAGCGUAGAUGGGUUGUUAAGUCAGUUGUGAAAGUUUGCGGACCAACCGUAAAAUUGCAAUUUAUACUGGCAGUCUUGAGUACAGUUGAGGUAGGCGGAAUUCGUUGUGUAGCGGUGAAAUGCUUAGAUAUCACGAAGAACUCCGAUUGCGAAGGCAGCUUACUAAACUGCCACUGACAUUGAUGCUCGAAAGUGUGGGUAUCAAACAGGAUUAGAUACCCUUGUAGUC
Molecule: ribosomal RNA, 460 nt
Filed under: uncultured bacterium
Lineage: Bacteria
Description: partial 16S ribosomal RNA
Rfam family: Bacterial small subunit ribosomal RNA
Source: RNAcentral